Molecule: long non-coding RNA, 1521 nt
Organism: Zingiber officinale
Lineage: Eukaryota; Viridiplantae; Streptophyta; Magnoliopsida; Zingiberales; Zingiberaceae
Exons: 3
Source: RefSeq, a predicted model, not a curated record
GGAGGCGAGCCGCUCUUCGACCACUUCGGGUCUCUUUAUUUACGCCUCGGUAGAACGACGCACUCCAUCAAUGCUCGGCCGCGGCUCCGCUCAUCUCUCUCGCGUGCGUCCAGGUUUUCCAAUGUAGAGGAAUUAGUUGGAGGCAGCAGCUGUAUAAUUUGCAAGAAGAUCUAAGGUGAUAUACCUAUGAUUUUCUUGCAAGUUAUGCAAUUGCUGCCUCAAGCUCGUCGUUUCCCUUUGCCAGGCCUGUAGAUCAGUAAAUUAAACUUAAAUGCCACGGUAUGAUUUCUUUUUGACGAAUACAUUAAUUAGCAGAAUAAUAUAUAUUUCAGUUGAAUACUACAUGUUGCAGCCCGAAAAGAAUCAUUCCUCUUUAGUGGGGUUCUCUAGAAAAAGUUAAAGAAUCAUAUUACAUGAAACAAUAUAACUCCAUUUAUUUACUACUUGAGUUGGAUCAAUGUUAAAAAAAGGAAAUGUCCAUGAAUUGGAAUGCCAAAAAGGAUAAUACAUGCUAAAGAAUUGCUUAAUUUUUUUUAUUUUUUAUGAAUCUCACUUCAAACUGAAUGAAUAUUGUUUUCGCGCUUUGGUAAAUUGCAUGGAUUUAUAUGCAUGCAAUUCUAUCAGAACUCAACCUUUGCGCUUGACUUGAGCCCGCUCAUGUGGUGAGAUGGGCUCAUCUUAUAAAUUGAUAUGCAUGGUAAAAUACUGCCCCGAUACACCAAUAUUCAUAAGGUGCUAUAUAUUUGUAGACACAAUUAGAUACAAUUCACAAUCAAUCUACUAUGGUUAAUUUUACUAAGUUUUCUCACAAUUAUGAGGAAUAAUUGAAUAAUUUGACAUAAAUUUUCUUAUUUUUCUAUAAAAUAUUUUCUAAGACUGAGAAAAACUGAAUUUUCCUGAAACAAAAGUUUUGCUCGCGCGUUGAUAGUAAAUAUUGUGAUUUUCAUCCCGUAAAAUAACUUACAAAUCAGCUUGCAGGAUCAGACCAUUUAUUCAUCCAAAACAAAAAUACCUUCACUUCCGCAGACGAAGACGUAAUCAAAUGCUGUUCCUCUUUUGAUGCGGUGUAUCGGUCGAUCACAGAUUUCAUGCUGAUAUAUUCAGAAGUAACCCCAAAAAAAAAAUUAGAAUGAACAUAAUUUAUUUACUGACCAAGAUCUGCAAGAUAAAAUUUUUCAGUGAGUUACUACGUUAGGGAUGUCAUAGAUCAUGAUUCAUUAGCCACAUGAUUACUUGCAUAAAAGAGCUGCUCUAUCUGGUAAGGAGAAAAAGAGUGAGGAGAAGAUGGGGAAGAACCUGGUGUUUGAGAACUCAUAGAGCCUGCCGGUGCUGGAGAAGACAGCGACACCAACCUGGGCGUCGCAGAGGAUGGCGAGCUCCUUAGCCUUCUUCAGCAAUCCGUUCCUCCUCUUCGAGAAGGUCACCUGUCGGCUCGUCGCGUCGUCGAUUCUUCGGAUCACUAUCUUCCCUCUUCCCAUGAUCUGCAGAACACACCUGAUCCGGCAAUGAAACUACGGAAAA